Molecule: ribosomal RNA, 500 nt
Filed under: uncultured bacterium
Lineage: Bacteria
Description: partial 16S ribosomal RNA
Rfam family: Bacterial small subunit ribosomal RNA
Source: RNAcentral
AUUGAACGCUGGCGGAAUGCUUUACACAUGCAAGUCGAACGGCAGCACGGACUUCGGUCUGGUGGCGAGUGGCGAACGGGUGAGUAAUGUAUCGGAACGUGCCCAGUCGUGGGGGAUAACGUAGUGAAAAUUACGCUAAUACCGCAUACGAUCUAUGGACGAAAGCGGGGGAUCGCAAGACCUCGCGCGAUUGGAGCGGCCGAUAUCAGAUUAGGUAGUUGGUGGGGUAAAGGCCCACCAAGCCAACGAUCUGUAGCUGGUCUGAGAGGACGACCAGCCACACUGGAACUGAGACACGGUCCAGACUCCUACGGGAGGCAGCAGUGGGGAAUUUUGGACAAUGGGCGAAAGCCUGAUCCAGCCAUUCCGCGUGCAGGAUGAAGGCCCUCGGGUUGUAAACUGCUUUUGUACAGAACGAAAAGGUUUCUACUAAUACUAGGAGCUCAUGACGGUACUGUAAGAAUGAGCACCGGCUAACUACGUGCCAGCCGCCGCGGUAA